UAAUCAGGGAUGCAUUUUAGACUAUGAUUUUAAUUUUUCAAAAUUCAAACAUAAUUUCUUUGCUUGCUGUCAAAGAGUUCUUGUAUGGGUUUGUAGAGUGGUUUUUGACAGUAGUCUUGCUGGCUAUGGAUUCACGUUCGCAGCAGCCGAUGAUUAAUUUGUCAAGCUCAGGUUUGUACAAAAGAGGCAUGAUUUUGCAAUAGGAUGAGUUAAAUUGUGCUUUGCACCUCUGUGUGUGCGAGACUCAUGUAUUGUCUUUCAUGUGUAGGUCGGAAGAGGAACAAAGAAAAUCAAUCAGAUGCUUCACUUGCUGGUA
RNAcentral lists this long non-coding RNA (316 nucleotides) under Daucus carota (carrot). RNAcentral describes it as "long non-coding RNA (DCAR_LNC006766)". Lineage: Eukaryota; Viridiplantae; Streptophyta; Magnoliopsida; Apiales; Apiaceae. The record is from RNAcentral.